UAUGCGAUACUUGGUGUGAAUUGCAGAAUUCAGUGAAUCAUCGAAUCUUUGAACGCACAUUGCGCCCGCCAGUAUUCUGGCGGGCAUGCCUGUCCGAGCGUCAUUUCAACCCUCGAACCCCUCCGGGGGGUCGGCGUUGGGGAUCGGGAACCCCUAAGACGGGAUCCCGGCCCCGAAAUACAGUGGCGGUCUCGCCGCAGCCUCUCCUGCGCAGUAGUUUGCACAACUCGCACCGGGAGCGCGGCGCGUCCACGUCCGUAAAACACCCAACUUCUGAAAUGUUGACCUCGGAUCAGGUAGGAAUACCCGCUGAACUUAAGCAUAUCAAUAAGCGGAGGAA
This 340-nucleotide ribosomal RNA is filed under the name Trichoderma sp. BAB-3262. Its description in RNAcentral is "eukaryotic LSU rRNA". The stretch from base 1 to 103 matches the Rfam family "5.8S ribosomal RNA", at positions 52 to 154 of the family's 154-position model. The record is from RNAcentral. Lineage: Eukaryota; Fungi; Ascomycota; Sordariomycetes; Hypocreales; Hypocreaceae.